RNAcentral lists this long non-coding RNA (350 nucleotides) under Rattus norvegicus (Norway rat). RNAcentral describes it as "long non-coding RNA NONRATT023865". The record is from RNAcentral. Lineage: Eukaryota; Metazoa; Chordata; Mammalia; Rodentia; Muridae.
GGAGCGCUCAGUCUUUUCGUGUUUCUUCCUCCUCGGAUCUGCUCUGUCUACCGCCGCCAUGGCCCAAGCUGACAUUGCACUGAUUGGACUGGCUGUCAUGGGCCAGAACUUAAUUUUGAACAUGAAUGAUCAUGGGUUUGUGGUAAGUACUGAGGACACGUCGCCUUCCCCUUGCGAUUGGUCAUUUGUUUUUCAGAGAAUCUCAAGGGAUCUGAUGCAGCUUCUCCCUCAGUAAGCCCUGUUGUUGCUUACUGGUCUUUGUAGAAGAAUUUCUGCUUUAGUUGUGCUGUCUCUGUAGUUAAAGGAAGAGCCUCUUUGGAUAGAAGUAAAUAUAAAAGCAGUGGUUCUCA